This is a long non-coding RNA of Zea mays, 456 nucleotides long. RefSeq lists it as uncharacterized. The record is from RefSeq and is a predicted model, not a curated record. The transcript is spliced from 4 exons. Lineage: Eukaryota; Viridiplantae; Streptophyta; Magnoliopsida; Poales; Poaceae.
UAACUCGUUGGAAAGAUUACAAGGACGACCAGAAAUACUACAACAGCUUUGUGUCACAGCUAAAUGGGCGCUUGUCCGUUAACACUGAGGACAAGGCAACAAAGGAAGCUUGCACCGAUAUGCUACGCUCUGCGGUAAAAAACCAGCGUUAUCGGCUCAAGCAGAAAUACUUCAAUGGUGUACCUGCAAAUGAGAUUAGGACAACUUCUCCUGUAUCUUACAUGACUGAUGAAUAGUGGAGGGCAUUAGUUGCAAAGUGGUCUGAUCCAAAGAACAUGGAAAUAAGUGAAAAGAACAAGCAGAACCGCAGUCAAGUCAAGUUUCAUCAGGCUACGGGUUCUCGCUGCUAUGUGGCACACUUACAUGCAUAUAAGCAGAAGAGAAACAGAGAAGAACCCAGCUUAGAUCAGACGAAAGAACUAGAUGCGGUGGACGCCUUCAAGACCUGCCAUACCA